GGCAUACCGUUUGUCUGCCUUUGACUCCAGUUAGCAUUGAAGUUCUAGCACGGCCCCUGUGCAAGGAUGACAUGCAAAUUCGUGAAGCAUUCCAUAUUUUU
This 101-nucleotide small nuclear RNA is filed under the name Fulmarus glacialis (Northern fulmar). The record is from RNAcentral. Lineage: Eukaryota; Metazoa; Chordata; Aves; Procellariiformes; Procellariidae.